This 740-nucleotide ribosomal RNA is filed under the name uncultured Nesterenkonia sp. RNAcentral describes it as "bacterial SSU rRNA". It matches the Rfam family "Bacterial small subunit ribosomal RNA", at positions 1 to 751 of the family's 1533-position model. Lineage: Bacteria; Bacillati; Actinomycetota; Actinomycetes; Micrococcales; Micrococcaceae. The record is from RNAcentral.
AUUAGAGUUUGAUCCUGGCUCAGGAUGAACGCUGGCGGCGUGCUUAACACAUGCAAGUCGAACGAUGAAGCCUGGUGCUUGCACCGGGUGGAUUAGUGGCGAACGGGUGAGUAUCACGUGAGUAACCUACCCUUGACUCUGGGAUAAGCCCGGGAAACUGGGUCUAAUACCGGAUAUGACCAGUCACCGCAUGGUGUGCUGGUGGAAAGCUUUAGCGGUUUUGGAUGGACUCGCGGCCUAUCAGCUAGACGGUGAGGUAAUGGCUCACCGUGGCGAUGACGGGUAGCCGGCCUGAGAGGGUGACCGGCCACACUGGGACUGAGACACGGCCCAGACUCCUACGGGAGGCAGCAGUGGGGAAUAUUGCACAAUGGGCGCAAGCCUGAUGCAGCGACGCCGCGUGUGGGAUGACGGCCUUCGGGUUGUAAACCACUUUCAGCAGGGAAGAAGCUUUUUGUGACGGUACCUGCAGAAGAAGCGCCGGCUAACUACGUGCCAGCAGCCGCGGUAAUACGUAGGGCGCGAGCGUUAUCCGGAAUUAUUGGGCGUAAAGAGCUCGUAGGCGGUUUGUCACGUCUGCUGUGAAAGCCCGGGGCUUAACCCCGGGUGUGCAGUGCGUACGGGCAGACUGGAGUGCAGUAGGGGAGACUGGAAUUCCUGGUGUAGCGGUGAAAUGCGCAGAUAUCAGGAGGAACACCGAUGGCGAAAGGCAGGUCUCUGGGCUGUUACUGACGCUGAGG